UUGUCUCUUUGGCACUCAUACCACAUCUUCCUAGUUCUAUAUAUAUGAUUUAAGCUUAUUAUUAUACAUGUACUUUCGCUUUUAAAAAGGGGUUUUACUUCUGUCUUUCCAUCCGUCAGUCCGUCCUUUUCUUUCAGGAACUACUUGACAAGGAUUUCUGAAAUUUGGUUUCAGGGUUAUAUAAGUCAGCUAUAUCCUGUGAUGGGUUUUCAGAUUCAUCACUCAACAACUUCCUGUUUACCAAAAUAUUGAGACAGGGGUAUUACUCAGUGAGAAGUAGCUCACAGUUUUACUUGUUACACUAACAUAUAUGAAGAACACGUCACCAGAGGGUUUUAUAAGAAAUAAAAAAUAAAAAAUAAAAUCCUCCCACCCGCCCCAUUUUUUUCAAAAUUUUGGAUGAAAAUCUACUAAUUAAUUUUAGUUGGCCUUAU
This 434-nucleotide long non-coding RNA is filed under the name Mytilus galloprovincialis (Mediterranean mussel). Lineage: Eukaryota; Metazoa; Mollusca; Bivalvia; Mytilida; Mytilidae. The record is from RNAcentral.